This 29-nucleotide non-coding RNA is filed under the name Homo sapiens (human). The record is from RNAcentral. Lineage: Eukaryota; Metazoa; Chordata; Mammalia; Primates; Hominidae.
UCCGGAUGCCAGGACCUGAAAUGGGCCGA